Molecule: long non-coding RNA, 1574 nt
Organism: Oncorhynchus gorbuscha (pink salmon)
Lineage: Eukaryota; Metazoa; Chordata; Actinopteri; Salmoniformes; Salmonidae
Exons: 2
Source: RefSeq, a predicted model, not a curated record
ACUGUGAAUGUUAUCUCCAUGAGACUUAAUUUGGCUUCAAUGCGCUAUUGAGUCUAAACAUAAGAUUGAAUGGUGUCACGUGAGUGACGUUGAGCCCUAAUGAUCUCCUCGAUGCGGAAAACGCAAACGGAAUCGCGGAUGUUGGUAAUAAAAAUUUAAUCAACUGUAAAACGUGGAAUAUUGCAGAAUUUCCCAUAAUUUGGCUGAAAUUUAUUUUAAAAAUAUCUAAAGUAGUCCUAAUUAUUGUAGUAACCUAAAUGAUUUCAUAAUUGUAAAAUUACAGACGAGUAGGCCUAGCGAAAAAUAUUUCAGUUUUCGAUUGAGGUGUUUUGAGAGAGGGGGGGCUCGGGCUCGGUCUUGUCUUGUGUUCGUGGGACCCUUACGCCACCUCACAACUUGGCUGUCAGUUUGAUAAUCAUGUUGAAGUGGCUGUCUGAGAAGGCCACAUAUAUUCGACCCUAACCCCUAUUUUCAGAGCAGGGCAAUACCCAAAGGACUAUUACUAGUCAGGCGAUAAGCUGUUUUGCAAAUUAUGUCAACAUACUAUUGAUGGACCCGGAAAAAUGUGUGAUGACCACUUAGUCUGAAGCCCAUGUGAUGUACAAGGAAAAGCACCGUGCCCAUCAGCAGAUUUAAGACGAUAAUUUAUUCAGGACUUUGUGGCUGUGUACGCAGAGUCUGACAUCCCCUUAGAAAAGCUAAGAAAGCUACGCCCCUUUGUAGUGAAGCAUUGCAAACAGGGAGGGGCGUUGCCUGUAAAUGUGAGCAGCCUCCGUCAAACGCACCUGCCCCGUGUGUUCGACCAACAUAUGACUGCCGUUCUACAGAAGAUCCAUGGGAAGAAGUUUGCGGUGGUUGUUGACAAGACAACAGAUGCAAGGGAUUGCAGCGUUGUAAACAUCGUCAUUGGUGUUGAAAACCAGUACUUUCUGGUGGAUGUCAUUUUCAUGGACAGAUGCAACGACUCAACGUUUUCCCAAGCUAUACUAGCCUCACUCCACAGCAACCAUCUGAACCUGACUGAUGCCUUGGCAGUGGUCACAGAUAAUUCAUCCUAAUGCCUGAAGACAUACAAGGAGGUUCUGAAAGGAGUGAUGCCCAACAGUGUCCAUGUAACCUGUCUCUGCCAUGUCAUCAAUCUGGUGGGUGAGACCUGGCAGCACUACAACUAUUGCUCUUAAGUUGCAUCCCUUGUGACAUGGAUGAGAUGAGAUAAGAUGGGUGAGCUUCCUCAUUGUGAAGGAGUUUGUGCAGGCCAAGGCUCCUCCUGAAGCAGUGAGCUCCAGAUGGAAUAGCUGGUUUGAGGCAGUGAAGUACCAUGCAGUGCAUGUUCUUCUGUACAGAGAGUUUUUGUUGGCAGAAAAGUCAUCAUCCGAGGUAGUCUCAAACAUCCCCAGCCAGCUGGAAACAGAAGGUUGCUGCAUUGUUGCCUAGGUUCUUGCAUUACUUUUUUUUCACUAAUAUUGAAACACUUAGUAGAACUCUGUAUUGAGCCCUUUCCUUGAUAAAAAAUUGUGCAAUGUUGUGUUGCAUCAUUACAAAUGUACUGUUAUCUUAUUAAAUUGUUGACUUUU